CGGUGACGUCGACCGCCGAACACCGCCCGAACAAGGAGAGGGACCGACUUCGGCGGAAGUCGUGACAUCUGAAAACAAAAAAAGCUAUCAAAACUCUGAAUCGACCCACCUGGUGGUAUCUUUAGUUGGACCUGAUUGGAGCAGGAUAACUGCUUUGACGGUGCCCUGCCCAGUGCGAUUAGGCAUUGUGAAGAAUGGAGGUUUACCUGCUCAGCUGCACUAGUACACUAUAGAGAAGAAUCUGCACAAGAUGGAGAAGCUGCUCAAGAAAGUGGUUCUGAACUGCACCUCAACCGAAAGAUGACCAAACCUGUGAUACAGUUCGGAAAGGAACAUAAUAGUUCAAACAUGUAUUCACUCUGGCUCAAGAUCAAACUUUUGCCUAAAUCAGUGAUGUUGAUUUAAGACAAAAAAAGUUGCAUCAUGUGCCCACAUGUCAUAUUAGGAUUUGUCUCUAUAUCAUCAUCAUGACACUGUCAUAUAUUGGAUAGUGUUGGAGUUUAUUUGGAUAAACGCGUCUGCUAAAUGACAUAUAGUGUGGUAAUAUUUUGGAAUGGCAGUAUUGUGUAUCUGGAUGAGACUCAGUGACCCCGUGUUUUCUUGCUGGACCCAGUUGUCUAUAGAUAAGCCCCGGCUUAUGCAUUGGGUCUUCUGGCCUCCCUGCCUGUGAUUGCUGACAGUGAAUUAGGGCAGGGGGACAUUAACCCCUCCUCUCCUUCACCUGUGGCUCCCCCAUUACCAUGACAAAGUAACACCACUGGGGCCUGGAACCACAUCUUAUAUAACUCCUAUGGGAUCACAUCAAUUAAGAAGCUACAGUCUUUGAUUUUGUCCACUAAGCUGGAUGUUACAGCUGGAAGGGCUGCAUGGUCACUUUAAAAAAGCUGCAGUCCCUCUCCGCAGUCACUAAAUUGAUCACUAACAAUUUGGAGCUGAGCCAUUUGUUCGUGUUCUGCUUCUCAGUAUAGUCAUAUCUGACUAAGAUCAUAACAUGGUGUCAGAAGUGCUUCAACCUUGUUAAAUAUAAGACAGGAGCGAUUAUUUCAUAGAAAAAAAUGUUCCUUGAGUUUUGUUGGAGUUUAGAGUGCCCGAAAAGUAGCAAACAGCUAAGUACAAGCGGAGCCGUUGCUAUGGAGACUCAGACUCAGAGCCGCUAAGAGCAAAGCGCACGCAGAGCGAGUGACAGACAUCAAGGAGCAGCUAAUGGAUUUACUAAUGGAGGAAGUUAUUUCUGAUUUCGGGUUUUGGGCAGGGCCGGGCCUUAAAUUUGGCAAAAGCAAAUGGGCCUGGGUAGGGUAGUGUCUGAACGUCAUGGGCCUGUGUAGGGUAGUCUCUGAACGUCAUGGGCAUGGGUAGGGCUCAGGCUUAAAAUGCAUGCCUGCGCAGGGCUUUACUACCUGGAUCUGCUGCUCAUUGAGCUAGAGUUCUCCAGGUGAGAAGACAUCAACAAAAUCUGUUUGAACUUUUUUAAACCCCUUAAAGAAAAUAUGAAAGAACUGCUGCGCUGAGUUUCCACUAGUGUUCUUCCAAAUGAUAGUCUUUUACCUAAAUCACACCUGUCAUUUCAGUGGUAUUGACGCUGUCGUCUAGGGAUAUAGGGCCUAACCCAGUAACUACAGUGUGACUGUCUGUUACAUCCCCACCUGCUUCAGCUGAUGACAGUGGGCAUGUCCAGUGACCUGCUAAGGGUCCGCCUGUUGUUUGAGAGGAUCUACGUUAGCUCCCUGCACAACUUACUGCACCAGAGGGUAAUCCCCACCAGUCACACAGGCGCACAUACAUACACACUUUCAACAUUUAUCUGUGUUUUAUACUUAAAUAAUUGGAUAAAUGAAAUGCAUGCUUAAUUGUGCUCCUCCACACCACCGUGCUGAGUUCCCAGUGGUGAGUGCUGAGACCAUGCUAUUGGUGGUGCUGCAAGUGUGUGAGGCUCUGCUCUACCUGCAUGGCCGGGCCCUGGUGCUGCGAGCUCUCUCCCGAUACAACGUCCUCCUCACACACCCCGGCAUGGCCAAACCUUCCGGCCUCCACUUCAUGGUGCCAAGGUAGGGAGAAGGAACAAACAAAACACAUGCUGCCCAAAACUUGCUCUAGUAGGUAUUUCCUACUCUUUUUCCCCUCUACUUUGUUUUUCAGUUAUAGUCCUUGCACCUGCAAUGAAAUACUAAAACAUAACAUAAACAUGUACAGUUGCGGUCAAAUAUAUUGGCACCCUUGCACAAUUCACUAUUUCGUCUAAAAUAAGUUGAAAUUGAAAAAAAAACUGUUGGA
Oncorhynchus kisutch (coho salmon) is the source of this 2271-nucleotide long non-coding RNA. RefSeq lists it as uncharacterized. The record is from RefSeq and is a predicted model, not a curated record. The transcript is spliced from 3 exons. Lineage: Eukaryota; Metazoa; Chordata; Actinopteri; Salmoniformes; Salmonidae.